Molecule: ribosomal RNA, 1422 nt
Filed under: Isthmohyla infucata
Lineage: Eukaryota; Metazoa; Chordata; Amphibia; Anura; Hylidae
Description: 16S ribosomal RNA
Rfam family: Bacterial large subunit ribosomal RNA
Source: RNAcentral
ACUAAAAACCUAGCCCCCCGCACCUUAAUGAAUCGCAACAAUUUAUUUUUUAAACUAAAACAUUCUAACACCUUAGUAAAGGCGAUUGAAAAGCUACUAGGAGCUAUACAAAUAGUACCGCAAGGGAAAGAUGAAAUAAUAAUGAAAUAAAUUUUAAGUAUAAAAUAGUAGAGACCUGCCCUCGUACCUUUUGCAUCAUGGUUUAACUAGUCAAAUUAAGCAAAACGUCUUACAGUUUAACUUCCCGAAACUAGGCGAGCUACUUCAGGGCAGCUUAUUGAGCUAACCCGUCUCUGUUGCAAAAGAGUGGGGUGACCUUCAAGUAGGGGUGACAGACCUAACGAGCCUAGUGAUAGCUGGUUAUUCAGGAAAAGGAUUUAAGUCCAACCUAAAGUCCACUAAAUACAACUAAAUAAAUAAACCUCGCUUUAGAGCAAUUCAAAUAAGGUACAGCCUAUUUGAAACAGGAUACAACCUCUUAAGAUGGGUAAUUACUUUUUAUAAUAAUUAAGUAGGCCUAAAAGCAGCCACCUUUAAAAUAGCGUCAAAGCUUCAUUAUUUUCCUUUUACAAUUCCUUUAAUAAUACAGAACCCUCUAUUAGUACUGAAUACUUCCAUACUUGUAUGGAAUAUUUUAUGUUAAAACUAGUAACAAGAAGAAGACCUUCACUACAAUGUAAGUGUAAAUCAGGCAGGACAUGCCACUGAUCAUUAACACGUAUGCAGAAAAAUUAAUAACCUUACAAGAAAAACUUAAUUUUCUUUAUGUUAACCUAACACAAGAGCAUUGCAAGUAAGAUUGAAAGAAAAAGAAGGAACUCGGCAAAUAUUAACCUCGCCUGUUUACCAAAAACAUCGCCUCUUGAUAACUAUAAGAGGUCCAGCCUGCCCAGUGACCCUGUUCAACGGCCGCGGUAUCCUAACCGUGCGAAGGUAGCGUAAUCACUUGUUCUUUAAAUAAGGACUAGUAUGAAUGGCAUCACGAGGGUUAUACUGUCUCCUUUUUCUAAUCAGUGAAACUAAUCUCCCCGUGAAGAAGCGGGGAUAACUAUAUAAGACGAGAAGACCCUAUGGAGCUUUAAACUGAAUAACACCUGCUUUUAAUUUCUACUCUCCCGAGUACCUACACUUAUUUUAGCCUUUUGAUUAUUAGUUUUAGGUUGGGGUGACCACGGAGCAAAAAACAGCCUCCACGUUGGACGGGGUUAAUCCCCUGAGCCACGAGCUACAUCUCCACGCACCAAUAAAUUGACAUGAAUUGACCCAAUAUAUUGAUCAACGAACCAAGUUACCCUAGGGAUAACAGCGCAAUCCGCUUCAAGAGCUCCUAUCGACAAGCGGGUUUACGACCUCGAUGUUGGAUCAGGGUAUCCCAGUGGUGCAGCCGCUACUAAAGGUUCGUUUGUUCAACGAUUAAAACCC